AGUGAACGCUGGCGGUAGGCCUAACACAUGCAAGUCGAACGGCAGCACAGUAAGAGCUUGCUCUUACGGGUGGCGAGUGGCGGACGGGUGAGGAAUACAUCGGAAUCUACUUUUUCGUGGGGGAUAACGUAGGGAAACUUACGCUAAUACCGCAUACGGCCUACGGGUGAAAGCAGGGGAUCUUCGGACCUUGCGCGAUUGAAUGAGCCGAUGUCGGAUUAGCUAGUUGGCGGGGUAAAGGCCCACCAAGGCGACGAUCCGUAGCUGGUCUGAGAGGAUGAUCAGCCACACUGGAACUGAGACACGGUCCAGACUCCUACGGGAGGUAGCAGUGGGGAAUAUUGGACAAUGGGCGCAAGCCUGAUCCAGCCAUACCGCGUGGGUGAAGAAGGCCUUCGGGUUGUAAAGCCCUUUUGUUGGGAAAGAAAAGCAGCAGGUUAAUACCCCGCUGUUCUGACGGUACCCAAAGAAUAAGCACCGGCUAACUUCGUG
RNAcentral lists this ribosomal RNA (492 nucleotides) under uncultured bacterium. RNAcentral's name for it is "partial 16S ribosomal RNA". It matches the Rfam family "Bacterial small subunit ribosomal RNA", at positions 29 to 507 of the family's 1533-position model. The record is from RNAcentral.